AGCGAACGCUGGCGGCAGGCCUAACACAUGCAAGUCGAGCGCCCAGCAAUGGGAGCGGCAGACGGGUGAGUAGCGCGUGGGGAUCUACCCAUUGGUACGGAAUAACCCAGGGAAACUUGGACUAAUACCGUAUGUGCCCUUCGGGGGAAAGAUUUAUCGCCAAUGGAUGAACCCGCGACGGAGUAGCUAGUUGGUGAGGUAAAGGCUCACCAAGGCGACGAUCCGUAGCUGGUCUGAGAGGAUGAUCCGCCACACUGGGACUGAGACACGGCCCAGACUCCUACGGGAGGCAGCAGUGGGGAGUAUUGGACAAUGGGCGCAAGCCUGAUCCAGCCAUGCCGCGUGAGUGAUGAAGGCCUUAGGGUUGUAAAGCUCUUUCGCCGGUGAAGAUAAUGACGGUAACCGGAGAAGAAGCCCCGGCUAACUUCGUGCCAGCCGCCGCUGUAA
RNAcentral lists this ribosomal RNA (447 nucleotides) under uncultured bacterium. RNAcentral describes it as "partial 16S ribosomal RNA". It matches the Rfam family "Bacterial small subunit ribosomal RNA", at positions 29 to 523 of the family's 1533-position model. The record is from RNAcentral.